GACGAGGGAUCCUAGCGUUGUUCGGAAUCAUUGGGCGUAAAGCGGGUGUAGGUGGGCUUCUAAGUCAGAUGUGAAAUCCCAGGGCUCAACCCUGGAAGUGCAUUUGAUACUGGAAGUCUUGAGUGUGGUAGAGGUUACUGGAAUUGUUGGUGUAGUGGUGAAAUACGUAGAUAUCAACAGGAAUACCGGAGGCGAAGGCGAGUAACUGGGCCAACACUGACACUGAGACCCGAAAGCGUGGGGAUCAAACAGGAUUAGAUACCCUGGUAGUCCACGCCAUAAACGAUGGAUACUUGAUGUUAGAGGUAUUGACCCCUCUAGUGUCGUAGCUAACGCGUUAAGUAUCCCGCCUGGGGAGUACGGUCGCAAGAUUA
Molecule: ribosomal RNA, 374 nt
Filed under: uncultured bacterium
Lineage: Bacteria
Description: bacterial SSU rRNA
Rfam family: Bacterial small subunit ribosomal RNA
Source: RNAcentral